ACAAUAAAAAAAUAAAUAAAUAAAGAAUGACUUGUGAUCAUGUAAAGUUUACAUGCUCUACCAAAAGUUUGUCAUCUCGUUCUCCCCCUCUACAAAAUCCCACCCUAGACCCAGCAUAAAUUUGAUCACUGAAUACUUAAUGGAACUUCCAAAAUUUUACAGUAGCUUUUACGUUAUUCCUUUGAGGAUAUUCAAGACUCAAAGAAUUUCCUAGAUACUAAAAUUUGAGAUUGUAAAUAGUAAAUUGGUUUACAUUCAAAUCAAAUUGGGAUUGUAAUUAACCCUAUAAUUUUUUUUUUGGAGGGUAGACCCAAUAUUUUCGAAGGAACUUGAAACGAAAAUUCUAUAGAUAUGACUAUGCUUGAUCUCGACGUAAAA
Molecule: unclassified non-coding RNA, 378 nt
Filed under: Hevea brasiliensis (rubber tree)
Lineage: Eukaryota; Viridiplantae; Streptophyta; Magnoliopsida; Malpighiales; Euphorbiaceae
Source: RNAcentral